UUUAUGGAGAGUUUGAUCCUGGCUCAGGAUGAACGCUGGCGGCGUGCCUAAUACAUGCAAGUCGAGCGAACUGACGAGGAGCUUGCUCCUUUGACGUUAGCGGCGGACGGGUGAGUAACACGUGGGU
This 127-nucleotide ribosomal RNA is filed under the name Staphylococcus agnetis. RNAcentral describes it as "partial 16S ribosomal RNA". It matches the Rfam family "Bacterial small subunit ribosomal RNA", at positions 1 to 122 of the family's 1533-position model. The record is from RNAcentral. Lineage: Bacteria; Bacillati; Bacillota; Bacilli; Caryophanales; Staphylococcaceae.